Molecule: ribosomal RNA, 381 nt
Filed under: uncultured Novosphingobium sp.
Lineage: Bacteria; Pseudomonadati; Pseudomonadota; Alphaproteobacteria; Sphingomonadales; Sphingomonadaceae
Description: bacterial SSU rRNA
Rfam family: Bacterial small subunit ribosomal RNA
Source: RNAcentral
UGUGGUUUAAUUCGAAGCAACGCGCAGAACCUCACCAGCGUUUGACAUCCCGCGCUAUCACCAGAGAUGGUGAGUUCCCUUGGGGGACGCGGUGACAGGUGCUGCAUGGCUGUCGUCAGCUCGUGUCGUGAGAUGUUGGGUUAACUCCCGCAACGAGCGCAACCUUCGUCUUUAGUUGCCAUCAUUAAGUUGGGCACUCUAAGGAAACCGCCGGUGAUAAGCGGGAGGAAGGUGGGGAUGACGUCAAGUCCUCAUGGCCUUUACACGCUGGGCUACACACGUGCUACAAGGGCGGUGACAGUGGGCAGCGACCUCGCGAGGGGUAGCUAAUCUCCAAAAGCCGUCUCAGUUCGGAUUGUUCUCUGCAACUCGAGAGCAUGA